GACGAACGCUGGCGGCGUGCUUAACACAUGCAAGUCGAACGGAAAGGCCCUGCUUUUGUGGGGUGCUCGAGUGGCGAACGGGUGAGUAACACGUGAGUAACCUGCCCCUGACUUUGGGAUAACUUCAGGAAACUGGGGCUAAUACCGGAUAGGAGCUCCUGCUGCAUGGUGGGGGUUGGAAAGUUUCGGCGGUUGGGGAUGGACUCGCGGCUUAUCAGCUUGUUGGUGGGGUAGUGGCUUACCAAGGCUUUGACGGGUAGCCGGCCUGAGAGGGUGACCGGCCACAUUGGGACUGAGCUACGGCCCAGACUCCUACGGGAGGCAGCAGUGGGGAAUAUUGCACAAUGGGCGGAAGCCUGAUGCAGCAACGCCGCGUGCGGGAUGACGGCCUUCGGGUUGUAAACCGCUUUCGCCUGUGACGAAGCGUGAGUGACGGUAAUGGGUAAAGAAGCACCGGCUAACUACGUG
This 468-nucleotide ribosomal RNA is filed under the name uncultured bacterium. Its description in RNAcentral is "partial 16S ribosomal RNA". It matches the Rfam family "Bacterial small subunit ribosomal RNA", at positions 28 to 507 of the family's 1533-position model. The record is from RNAcentral.